Molecule: ribosomal RNA, 242 nt
Filed under: uncultured bacterium
Lineage: Bacteria
Description: partial 16S ribosomal RNA
Rfam family: Bacterial small subunit ribosomal RNA
Source: RNAcentral
UGGGUAACCUGCCUCAAAGAGGGGAAUAGCCUCCCGAAAGGGAGAUUAAUACCGCAUAAUAUGUUUAAGUCGCAUGACUUUAACAUCAAAGGAUUUUCUUUUAGAAAUUCCACUUUGAGAUGGACCCGCGGCGCAUUAGCUAGUUGGUGAGGUAACGGCUCACCAAGGCAACGAUGCGUAGCCGACCUGAGAGGUGAUCGGCCACAUUGGAACUGAGACACGGUCCAGACUCCGUAGGGAGG